This 487-nucleotide ribosomal RNA is filed under the name uncultured bacterium. RNAcentral describes it as "partial 16S ribosomal RNA". It matches the Rfam family "Bacterial small subunit ribosomal RNA", at positions 28 to 507 of the family's 1533-position model. The record is from RNAcentral.
GACGAACGCUGGCGGCGUGCUUAACACAUGCAAGUCGAACGGAAAGGCCCCCAUCUUGGUGGGGGUGCUCGAGUGGCGAACGGGUGAGUAACACGUGGGUGAUCUGCCCUGUACUUCGGGAUAAGCUUGGGAAACUGGGUCUAAUACCGGAUAGGACCAUGGUUUAGUGUCUCAUGGUGGAAAGAUUAUUGUUUUGGUGCAGGAUGAGCUCGCGGCCUAUCAGCUUGUUGGUGGGGUAAUGGCCUACCAAGGCGUCGACGGGUAGCCGGCCUGAGAGGGUGGACGGCCACAUUGGGACUGAGAUACGGCCCAGACUCCUACGGGAGGCAGCAGUGGGGAAUAUUGCACAAUGGGCGAAAGCCUGAUGCAGCGACGCCGCGUGGGGGAUGACGGCCUUCGGGUUGUAAACUCCUUUCGUUAGGGACGAAGCCACGCUUUUGGGGUGUGGUGACGGUACCUUUGUUAAGAAGCACCGGCUAACUACGUG